Molecule: long non-coding RNA, 547 nt
Filed under: Gallus gallus (chicken)
Lineage: Eukaryota; Metazoa; Chordata; Aves; Galliformes; Phasianidae
Description: long non-coding RNA NONGGAT008751
Source: RNAcentral
CAGGCGAGAAAGGGAACAGAUCAGCAUGAAGCCGAUGUGGAAGGAAGCACCUGUGUGCAACACAGCCUUUUCACCCCGCAGCCUUCACCAGGACCUUCUCCACGACUGCAGCAGGAUGUCUAUUCAAGGGGUAUGGAGUACGGGAAGAGUGCAAGCCAAGAGAAGUACGGUCUUAUUGUUUUAACAGCUGACACCUACAAAUGCAGAUUUGAAUCACUGAAACAUGUAGAACUUAAGUCUCAAGACUGGGUGCUGCGGUGUGUUAAACGGGACAGAAAGUCACCUGUAUUACACCUUUGGCAACAGAAAGGUUACUUCUAACAGUGGAGGGAUGUGCACAGUUUAUUUUUAUCUCACGUGUUGCAUGCAAAUUGCCCCUGUCUACAGUACAGUGUGCAUACAAAGUUUGCUGAGGUGUCCAAACUAGAUUCACUGUGAGUACUUCUCCAGUAUAUGCAAUUAAAAUGUAAUUCAUUUCUAGAUAUCAUCAAUAUUCUGUCACGGUGUAAGGGGAAUGGACUAGAUGACCCAUGAAGUCUAUUCCUAC